AUGUUGAUAAAAUCUUUGGCAGGAACUCGGAUCACUCAUCUUGGUGCAGAUAUGCGGAUGAAGCUCAAAGCGGCAUAUACCUUAGUUGAGCAGCUAUACUCUGGGUCUCAGCGAGCCAUUAGUAUAGUGGCUUAUAACAAACCGGCACCAACAUUGAUUAAGGAGACCCUUGAGAAGCUGGGCAUGUUACCGGCGUGCAUUGCCGAGUUGAAAAGAGCCGCUGCGAGAGCAGGAGCAUUAACCGCCCUUGUUCGAGCCAAGGCCUGGAUUCCAGACCUUGAAGAGGAGGAUAUCAUUAAAGGAUAUCCAGGCGUUAAAGAAGACGGUUCAGACUUUGACAAUGAUGAUCUUCGGCGGCUGACCAAACAGAUGCGGCCAGUGGCCAGCAAAUUGGCUGAGGGCAGCGAUUUGUCCCAUUUUCAACCGUUUUAUGAUGCAGAAGGGAGAAGACAGCUGGCCGAGAUCCAUGAAGUCAAAGAACUUGUGCCUCCGAUUCGUAAGCACACUUAUGCCCCUGAUAUUAACCCUUUUGAUCUUAUCCAUGAGGAAGCAGUGUUCCAAGCUUUAACCGGAAUCGAUUGGUCAACGGCUGAUUUCCAGCGGUUGGGGAGGGAUGAAGAAGUACCUACACCAACUGAUCCGCAACCGUCAAACCGUCGUGAUGAAGAGUCCUGA
Molecule: ribosomal RNA, 675 nt
Filed under: Triticum aestivum (bread wheat)
Lineage: Eukaryota; Viridiplantae; Streptophyta; Magnoliopsida; Poales; Poaceae
Description: partial small subunit ribosomal RNA
Source: RNAcentral